Molecule: ribosomal RNA, 435 nt
Filed under: uncultured bacterium
Lineage: Bacteria
Description: partial 16S ribosomal RNA
Rfam family: Bacterial small subunit ribosomal RNA
Source: RNAcentral
AGCGAACGCUGGCGGCAGGCUUAACACAUGCAAGUCGAGCGGGCAUAGCAAUAUGUCCGCGGCAGACGGGUGAGUAACGCGUGGGAACGUACCUUUUGGUUCGGAACAACACAGGGAAACUUGUGCUAAUACCGGAUAAGCCCUUACGGGGAAAGAUUUAUCGCCGAAAGAUCGGCCCGCGUCUGAUUAGCUAGUUGGUGAGGUAAUGGCUCACCAAGGCGACGAUCAGUAGCUGGUCUGAGAGGAUGAUCAGCCACAUUGGGACUGAGACACGGCCCAAACUCCUACGGGAGGCAGCAGUGGGGAAUAUUGGACAAUGGGCGCAAGCCUGAUCCAGCCAUGCCGCGUGAGUGAUGAAGGCCCUAGGGUUGUAAAGCUCUUUUGUGCGGGAAGAUAAUGACGGUACCGAAAGAAUAAGCCCCGGCUAACUUCGUG